Long non-coding RNA from Nerophis ophidion (straightnose pipefish), 729 nucleotides. RefSeq lists it as uncharacterized. Lineage: Eukaryota; Metazoa; Chordata; Actinopteri; Syngnathiformes; Syngnathidae. The record is from RefSeq and is a predicted model, not a curated record. The transcript has 3 exons.
AUAAGGUCUAUGCUGACCCAGAUCCUCAAAAACCAAGAGAUCCUCCUGGCACGAAGUAGCCAAUCAGGUGAUGCUGUUGAGGCGAUUGAGGAUUUGCUCCCAGCAACAUUAUAGACCAGACAGGAACGAAUGGACCUGUGUCUUAAGUUGGAGGAUGUGCAGUUCAGGAGGACAAUGGCAUCCGUCCUGAAGAAUGUGCCUGCAGUGGACUUCAAGGCCAUUGUACGAAACAUCCUAUUCAAAAUUGGGACAGCAAAAAAUAACUGCUACGAUCAAAAAUUAAGGAGAACAAGAAAAACAGGAGCAAGGCAAGGAGGGAAUCAAGGACAUGGACUUGGACGCUAGAAGGCACAAUAGACGAGACGAUCUGGCAAAGGACAAACGGAGAAGUGAGCUUAAAUAGGACGUGGGAGUGAUGGGGAACAGGUGGAAACAAUCAGGAAUCAAGGAUGACGUCAGACUGGUGACACAAGAGGAAUGACCCGUGAUCUGAAACAAGAGGGUAGCUUUUCAAAAUAAAACACAUAGAUCACAAGACAGAAAAACAAACAAGACUUCCCUCACCGCGGUGUGACACAAACAUGCUCCAAGAAAGAUAAAAAAGGACGAAAAUGGCAGACCAGCUCUUCCCUCUUCACUUCGGACUUUGGACGACAAUAUGAUCCUAGCAGCGGUUCCGAACAAGCUGAUUGAUGAAAUGAACUUGUAUUCUAUGUAAAUAAACUAAAC